Molecule: ribosomal RNA, 1341 nt
Filed under: uncultured bacterium
Lineage: Bacteria
Description: 16S ribosomal RNA
Rfam family: Bacterial small subunit ribosomal RNA
Source: RNAcentral
GACGAACGCUGGCGGCGUGCUUAACACAUGCAAGUCGAACGGAAAGGCCCUGCUUUUGUGGGGUGCUCGAGUGGCGAACGGGUGAGUAACACGUGAGUAACCUGCCCUUGACUUUGGGAUAACUUCAGGAAACUGGGGCUAAUACCGGAUAGGAGCUCCUGCUGCAUGGUGGGGGUUGGAAAGUUUCGGCGGUUGGGGAUGGACUCGCGGCUUAUCAGCUUGUUGGUGGGGUAGUGGCUUACCAAGGCUUUGACGGGUAGCCGGCCUGAGAGGGUGACCGGCCACAUUGGGACUGAGAUACGGCCCAGACUCCUACGGGAGGCAGCAGUGGGGAAUAUUGCACAAUGGGCGGAAGCCUGAUGCAGCAACGCCGCGUGCGGGAUGACGGCCUUCGGGUUGUAAACCGCUUUCGCCUGUGACGAAGCGUGAGUGACGGUAAUGGGUAAAGAAGCACCGGCUAACUACGUGCCAGCAGCCGCGGUGAUACGUGGGGUGCGAGCGUUGUCCGGAUUUAUUGGGCGUAAAGGGCUCGUAGGUGGUUGAUCGCGUCGGAAGUGUAAUCUUGGGGCUUAACCCUGAGCGUGCUUUCGAUACGGGUUGACUUGAGGAAGGUAGGGGAGAAUGGAAUUCCUGGUGGAGCGGUGGAAUGCGCAGAUAUCAGGAGGAACACCAGUGGCGAAGGCGGUUCUCUGGGCCUUUCCUGACGCUGAGGAGCGAAAGCGUGGGGAGCGAACAGGCUUAGAUACCCUGGUAGUCCACGCUGUAAACGGUGGGUACUAGGUGUGGGGUCCAUUCCACGGGUUCCGUGCCGUAGCUAACGCUUUAAGUACCCCGCCUGGGGAGUACGGCCGCAAGGCUAAAACUCAAAGGAAUUGACGGGGCCCCGCACAAGCGGCGGAGCAUGCGGAUUAAUUCGAUGCAACGCGUAGAACCUUACCUGGGUUUGACAUGGAUCGGGAGUGCUCAGAGAUGGGUGUGCCUCUUUUGGGGUCGGUUCACAGGUGGUGCAUGGCUGUCGUCAGCUCGUGUCGUGAGAUGUUGGGUUAAGUCCCGCAACGAGCGCAACCCUUGUUCACUGUUGCCAGCACGUUAUGGUGGGGACUCAGUGGAGACCGCCGGGGUCAACUCGGAGGAAGGUGGGGAUGACGUCAGGUCAUCAUGCCCCUUAUGUCCAGGGCUUCACGCAUGCUACAAUGGCUGGUACAGAGAGUGGCGAGCCUGUGAGGGUGAGCGAAUCUCGGAAAGCCGGUCUCAGUUCGGAUUGGGGUCUGCAACUCGACUUCAUGAAGUCGGAGUCGCUAGUAAUCGCAGAUCAGCAACGCUGCGGUGAAUACGUUCCCG